Corythoichthys intestinalis (scribbled pipefish) is the source of this 2698-nucleotide long non-coding RNA. RefSeq lists it as uncharacterized. The record is from RefSeq and is a predicted model, not a curated record. NCBI's taxonomy places the organism in Eukaryota, Metazoa, Chordata, Actinopteri, Syngnathiformes, Syngnathidae. The transcript is spliced from 5 exons.
CUCGCACGAGUCAUUUGGUCUGAGUCUCAGCAAGUCUCAAGUCUUUCCUGUUGUGGGCAAGUUGAGUCGAGUCAAGAGGUUAUGUCAAGUCAUUAUUUUAUAUCAGGUCAAGCCGAGUCACAUCAAGUCACAACGCUGUCGAGUCACAGGGAGAUGUCCAUUUAAAGUCUUGUCCUGGGACUGGGAGACGAGACACGCACACUUGUGCGAUCCCAAGAUUACGUCAGGACUCAGGACACCACCCAUAAUCUAGAUAGAACGCGCCUGCCGCAAUACGAUUGGCUGCUGGACACACGGUGCUGCAAUAUGAUUGGCUGCUGCACACUGAUUCCCUGCGGUCAAGAUCUUACCGAGCAGAAGCCCUGAAAUUCACGAGAGCCAGUUCCGCACACCAUGGUCCUGAAGAUGGGAACCGACCCCCAUCGUCGGCGACAGGCACGCAGCGACAGUAGAGUGACGUUGACCUCCUGAAGAGUGUUCGGCAAGGUGUUGUUAUCACCGAUGUCCCCCCAACCGGCGGUGAUGCAGCUGCUCCGUCUUCCCACACGCCGUCUUUUAGGAGCGAUCAGCUGAACCGCAUCGGUCAAUGUGGCGCUGCCGUUGAGCUAAGGAGCAUUAUGUCGUUUUCAUGACCAUCAUACGCAGGAUGCGGGAUGUCUCUAAUCGCGGUAAACACCUGCUUGGUGGACUCAUCGCCUGUCAGGGAGUCUACCCCCAGCACUACAUGUGCUGCUGUCAGGACAAAGUCUUCCUUGACCAGGGACCCUCCACAAAUGUGCUGCCCUUGCACCUGCAGCGAGGCCAUGUACGGUCUCGAGUGUGGUGGAGCGUCUCUGCCUCCAACAAUGUGAGUGCAAUCGGCUCCUGAAAACCCAUGAAACACUUCCUUAAUUAUUUUUUAAGGAGAAAUCUUAACUUUGUCUUAAAAGACAAGCUCACCGUUUAAGAUGAACAAGAGCAGCAGUGUGAUGGCCAUGAUGCUUGUUCGAAUGCACACUUUGCUCUCAGUUUGUUCCUAUUAUUGUGUCCACUAACUUAGAUUGCGGACUAUUGUUGCUUCAGAGGAUUUGCCAACUUGGUGGUAGAGGUUUUGCAAAGUUAUGGAGGGAAAAAAAAGCAGGGUUGCACCAAUUCAACUCAGAAAACCAAAUUCCUUUCAACAUUCCUGUUCAUAAUCAAUUGUUUUCAAUAGCAUGGGUCAUAAGAUACAUGCUUUACAGCUCUGGGAAAGUUAUAUCUGAAAGGUUCAACCAAAUUGUUGUACAAAAAUACAGCCCAAAAGUUUGAAACAUUAAAACAUAUUUAAUAUGGGAAAUCGGCAUGACCUUCUCUUCAGAUUUUGUCAAGAAACAAACGAAUCAUUAUCGAAGCUUAUUAUUAGCAUGACACUUUCCAACGGUUCUGCAUUUUUAUUACAGUAAUCUGGAAAAUGUAUAGGCAGGUAAAUUAAAAUUGUACAACUUCCGCGGUGUUGUUUGAGAGUAGGUUUAAGCAAGAUUGCCUUUCAACAUGCUUCCUCUUGCAGGAUCUUUAUGAUGGCACAUUAACAGCUUUUUGUGAAACAUACAUCGAUAAACUUUCUUAUCUCCAGUUUGAUUGAAAUGCGUUCAGGGUUUUUAUUUUUGCCUUUACACUAAAGAUGCACCGAUACCAGUAUCGGCAGAGGGUGCGAUCCAGCCCGAAAUGGUGAUAUCAGUAUCGGCGAGUACCUACAAACAGGGCGCCGAUACCAUAUACCGGUCCAGUAACACUAAAUGCAGCCUUUUUCUCCUGAUACCCACUAAACUCUGUGUUGUGUGAUCACACGAUUGCUUUGCAUGCCAAACAGCGAUCGUUAUUGACCUGCUGCAGACCAAUGAGAGCGGGCCAAUAGUUGCUCUCAACCAAUGCCGGGGCAGCUUUUUCAUAUGGAGGAAAAACUAAGAGUAGGAGAUGAAAAUGUUGGCUGUUUUGGAAUAUUUCCACGUCGAGUACAAUGGCUGGGGAUGGAUUGCAGCAACAAACCCUGGGCAGUGGGACAAGAUGAGUGAAGCAGCAAUACAGAUGUCCGAAAAAAUCACCGAAAUGACUUGUCUGUAACCUGCCUGUCGCCUUCGUUGAAAGCGUGGGAAUCCUGCUUUUCAUGGCUCACGCAGUAUCUAAGUAUAAGGUUCAUAGGCGCAAAUACAUUAAGGAGACGACUAUCCUGUACUAAAAAAUAAAGUAACAAAACAUGUUUUAGAAAAGCUGAAGAAGGCAGGGGCCAAUAGCUUUUCAAUAGAUGUCUGGAGCUGCCUAGUCUCCCAACUUUCGCUGUUUAGCUUGACAGCCGACUAGAAAGCGUAGUACUUCAUGCGAAUAAAUUGUUGCUCAAUUGGAGCAUCCCAUGCUGUUAUCAAUUAUUAUUUUUAUUAUUACUUAUAAUUUCAUGAAAGUUCCACUGUUUGGCCUUUGAGAGGUUUAAAAAUGUUUCUUCAGUUUCUUCAGAGUUUAUUAUUAUGAAUGUAUUUUCACUUUCUCACUGUUGGGCUAGUAUUAUACAUGUUUUAAUUUAACAAAUUUAGCACUAUUUUGGCCUUUGAGAGCCAAAGGUUUAUUCAACUAUUGUCACCCAUACCAGGUAUGCAAUAAAAAGUUCUACUGUAUUCACUUAGUAUUAGUCUUUUUCCUAUUUCGCAAAGGUAAGUGGAAGCCUGAAAAAGCCAUGAUAGCAGUGAUU